UAGGGAAUCUUCGGCAAUGGGGGCAACCCUGACCGAGCAACGCCGCGUGAGUGAAGAAGGUUUUCGGAUCGUAAAGCUCUGUUGUAAGUCAAGAACGAGUGUGAGAGUGGAAAGUUCACACUGUGACGGUAGCUUACCAGAAAGGGACGGCUAACUACGUGCCAGCAGCCGCGGUAAUACGUAGGUCCCGAGCGUUGUCCGGAUUUAUUGGGCGUAAAGCGAGCGCAGGCGGUUUGAUAAGUCUGAAGUUAAAGGCUGUGGCUCAACCAUAGUUCGCUUUGGAAACUGUCAAACUUGAGUGCAGAAGGGGAGAGUGGAAUUCCAUGUGUAGCGGUGAAAUGCGUAGAUAUAUGGAGGAACACCGGUAGCGAAAGCGGCUCUCUGGUCUGUAACUGACGCUGAGGCUCGAAAGCGUGGGGAGCGAACAGGAUUAGAUACCCUGGUAGUCCACGCCGUAACGAUGAGUGCUAGGUGUUGGAUCCUUUCCGGGAUUCAGUGCCGCAGCUAACGCAUUAAGCACUCCGCCUGGGGAGUACGACCGCAAGGUU
Molecule: ribosomal RNA, 548 nt
Filed under: uncultured bacterium
Lineage: Bacteria
Description: bacterial SSU rRNA
Rfam family: Bacterial small subunit ribosomal RNA
Source: RNAcentral